Molecule: transfer RNA, 56 nt
Filed under: Dipodomys ordii (Ord's kangaroo rat)
Lineage: Eukaryota; Metazoa; Chordata; Mammalia; Rodentia; Heteromyidae
Rfam family: tRNA
About the family: Transfer RNA (tRNA) molecules are approximately 80 nucleotides in length. Their secondary structure includes four short double-helical elements and three loops (D, anti-codon, and T loops).
Source: Rfam by way of RNAcentral
UAGCUCAGUGGUAGAGUGCUUGCCUUACAUGCAUGAGGCCCUGGGUUCGAUCCCUG